GGAGAAGGCUGCAGUAGAGGCUAGAGCUAUUUUUCCUGGCAACAGACCCAGAGAGAAGCUCAACACUUGGAGUAUGAAAGGAGAGUUGGAAAGAAAUCAACUGUGGAAUAACUGCUUCUGAAGACUGAAGUCCAAGAUCAAGGUGCCAGCAGAAUUGGUGUCUGCCUAUGGACCACUGGAAGGCCCGGCCAGGGGUGUGGUCAUCAGGACUUCCCAAAAGCACAUCUCCUUCCUCUGUGGCUUGACUGUGUGCCUCUCCUCUCGAGCUGCAACUGUACCAUGAGUCUCCCUUCCAGAUCAAAAGGAAGAUCCCGACCGCAGUCCUUUGGAAUAAGAUUUGCUAGUAUUCAAUGUUCUUUCUUGUGUCUCAACUCAUAUCCAUAUUUUCUUCUCAGAAUUCCAUAGGUUUAGCCCUUUGGGGGUUUUUACUUUUUUCUUCUUAUUUUUUAUACUGCCUGUUCCUACUUUAUGCUGUGUUUUACCCAUAUUUAUGUCAUUUUAAUCAGUUCCAUAAGACUGUGUUUGAACUCCCCACCUCCACUUGCUUUUGUUUUGGGUGAUGACUGUGCUGUCCACCUCUGCCACUUGUUUCAGGCCCUACUACUUUUUCCCUCCAAUGUUCCUUCUUUUGUGUCUGCCAUCUAUUAUUGCUGAAUACGUUAUUGUCGUUUUUGUCUUCUUAUUUUAUUUUCUCCUCUUCUUCCUUCAGUGGAUGUCUUGAGAUGUUCUUGCUUCUUAUGUUCCAUGUUUGCUGACAUAGGGCAAAACUAAGAAUCUGCGACAAGACAAGCUGCUUUUUCCUCUAUCAAAGCUGCCUUCAUCGGGCAGCUGUCCUUCAUUCUCAAUUACUUUAUCUACUCUUUUUUGCCUUUUUCACAUCCAACCUGUAAUCUAUAUUUUCCUUUCUUCAGCUAUAUCUUAAACUGUUAAAAUAGAGCCUGACAUGUAGUACACAUUCAGUAAAUAUCUGUUGAAUAAAAGAAAACAAUAAAUGAAUGAAUGGUUGUUUGGUAA
This 1014-nucleotide long non-coding RNA is filed under the name Homo sapiens (human). RNAcentral's name for it is "HSALNT0368952". The record is from RNAcentral. Lineage: Eukaryota; Metazoa; Chordata; Mammalia; Primates; Hominidae.